Long non-coding RNA from Impatiens glandulifera, 415 nucleotides. RefSeq lists it as uncharacterized. The transcript is spliced from 2 exons. Lineage: Eukaryota; Viridiplantae; Streptophyta; Magnoliopsida; Ericales; Balsaminaceae. The record is from RefSeq and is a predicted model, not a curated record.
AAAACUCUAGCUUUGGAAACCCUAGACCUUUAAAUACCAAUCACGGACCCAAAUAACCGCACUUGUUUCAUUCUCGAAGGAACCCUAGAAACCAGAGGUUGAAGAAGCUCACUGUCACGAUGAGAGCCAAGUGGAAGAAGAAGAGGAUGAGGAGAUUGAAGAGGAAGCGCCGAAAGAUGAGACAGCGAUCUAAGUAGAUAUUAUAAAGGUGUCUUCUUUAAUGGUUGCUGCAGUUUCUUGAUUGUUUAAUUAUUCAUCUUUGAUCUUCUUCUUUCAGACUGUUUAAUUUUAGCUUGCUUCUGUUUUGGGUCUUUUAGAUGAUACUAUAUGAUUUGGUAUCUGUGUUUGAAUUUUGGAUUGGAAUUUUAUAAGAAUUUUGGAAAAUUUAAUGAAUCUGAGUUUAGUAUUGUGUUUU